RNAcentral lists this long non-coding RNA (990 nucleotides) under Homo sapiens (human). Its description in RNAcentral is "HSALNT0293679". The record is from RNAcentral. Lineage: Eukaryota; Metazoa; Chordata; Mammalia; Primates; Hominidae.
GGCGCCUCUCCCUCCACACCUCCCUGCAAGCUGAGGGAGCCGGCUCUGGCCUUGGCCAGCCUAGAAAGGGGCUCCCACAGUGCAGUGGUGGGCUGAAGGGCUCCUCAAAUGCCGCCAAAGUGGGAGCCCAGGCAGAGGAGGUGCCAAGAGCAAGCGAGGGCUCUGAGGACUGCCAGCACGCUGUCACCUGUCAUUAUCAACAACUUGACUAAAAUACCUCUGUGUUUGAAGAGGAAGCCAGAGAAAUUAGAAACAAGAGAAACAUUUGAUGCAUUAUUGCUGACUUGAAGAUGGAGAGAGGUUCCCCUGAGCAUACAGGAGUACUCCAUGAAGACUGCAAUGGCUUCCCUCUCACAAACUGCAUGCACGUCCAGCAGCUCCUGGAGUGUGUCUGUGGGGAAUCUCACUUGCUGGGCCAUCUGCUGGCUGUAGUGGUUGGCUGCCCUCUGCACGGCUGCUGAGUUCUCACACUGGGCCAGAACUGCCAUUGCAUUCUCCAGACAAGGAGUCGCUCCACUGUUGAUGGCAUCCAGAGACCAUCAAGCUUCAGAAGAUCAUGUGACAAAUGUUCCAGCCAGUUCCAGUUGAAGACACCACCCCUGGCCAUCAAGAAGCUACUCUGCCUCCACUAGACAGAGCAGGGUGACAGUUCCGUGAUCCCCAAUAGGUAGGGACUUUGCUUCAAGCCAGCAUGAGGCAGUUACAGAAGAAAGACCAUUAGUCACUCCACCUCCCAUAAAGAUUUAUGGGGAUGACAUCUCUCAGGGAGGAAAUGAGGCAGGAAAAUAGGAUCUGGAGGCAUAGAACAUAAGGCCUAUUCACACUUCAGCUAUGCCGGGAAAUAUUAUCUCCAUUUACAUAGGGCAUACACAAAGUAACCAAUGGAAACCUCUAGAGGGUAUUUAAAUCCCCCAAAAUUCUGUAACAGGACCCUUGAGCCCCUAUGCUUGGGCCCACUCCCACACUGUGGAGUGUACUUCCAUUUUCAAU